RNAcentral lists this long non-coding RNA (463 nucleotides) under Mytilus galloprovincialis (Mediterranean mussel). The record is from RNAcentral. Lineage: Eukaryota; Metazoa; Mollusca; Bivalvia; Mytilida; Mytilidae.
GGGGUUUUAUCAGAUACAAUAGCAUCAUCACGUUUGUGUAAAAGAAUUAUCAGCACAUGUUUCAAAUUUAUAUCUGAUAAAAGUCAGGUUUCUGCUGUCAAAAGGGAUUCACAUUUAUAUUGAAAUAAAUUAAUCAGAAGAAGGUAAAAUCAGGUUGCAUAAGCAAUGUACAAUACCACCCCCUGUACUGACAUAUCGAUAUUGAAAGUACAAGAUCCACCCAGAGUCAUUUGUUCUAUUUUAAAACUUGUACAAAAUCAGUUCAAAUUCUGGGAAUCCCGGAUGACGUAGUUGAAUCUGAUUGGAUAAGAUAGAAAAGUGGAUUUUCCCCUUUCAAUUUAGAAACGCCAACAUUUUUUUACUAGUCGUCGGGCAUUUUUGGUUACAAGUCUUGGUUGCCGAGGUCUAAAUGUUGUAGUCCCGGGCGUCGGGCUAGUGGAUUUCUUAACCCCUGAAUUCAUAU